GCUUUUAAAGGAAAAUAGUCAAUCCGUUGGUCUUAGGAGCCAAAGCCCCUUGGUGCAAAGCCAUGUAAAAGCC
Molecule: transfer RNA, 73 nt
Filed under: Herpele squalostoma
Lineage: Eukaryota; Metazoa; Chordata; Amphibia; Gymnophiona; Herpelidae
Description: tRNA-Leu
Source: RNAcentral